This 380-nucleotide unclassified non-coding RNA is filed under the name uncultured Alphaproteobacteria bacterium. Its description in RNAcentral is "contains 16S-23S intergenic spacer region". The record is from RNAcentral. Lineage: Bacteria; Pseudomonadati; Pseudomonadota; Alphaproteobacteria.
UCCGGCUUAUCACCGGCAGUUUCUUUAGAGUGCCCAGCAUUACCUGAUGGCAACUAAAGACGAGGGUUGCGCUCGUUGCGGGACUUAACCCAACAUCUCACGACACGAGCUGACGACAGCCAUGCAGCACCUGUGUGGUAGCCACCCGAAGUGAAAGAAUCCAUCUCUGGAAACUAAACUACCCAUGUCAAGGCCUGGUAAGGUUCUUCGCGUUGCCUCGAAUUAAACCACAUGCUCCACCGCUUGUGCGGGUCCCCGUCAAUUCCUUUGAGUUUUAAUCUUGCGACCGUACUUCCCAGGCGGAGUGCUUAACGCGUUAGCUACGACACUGAAGCCUAAGGCCCCAACGUCUAGCACUCAUCGUUUACGGCGUGGACUAC